RNAcentral lists this ribosomal RNA (542 nucleotides) under Eratoidea sp. MNHN-IM-2013-60596. Its description in RNAcentral is "partial 12S ribosomal RNA". Lineage: Eukaryota; Metazoa; Mollusca; Gastropoda; Neogastropoda; Marginellidae. The record is from RNAcentral.
AAAACCUAAGAGCUUAGUUAUAUUUAUAAAGUAAAAAGGUAGUUAGAUAUAUAAUUAUUUUUGUAAUUUUUAUACUUAGGUUAAAUAGAUUAUAUAAAUAUAUGCAUUUUAAGAAAUUGUGGGUGUUUGAGGCUACUAAGAUUAAGAUUUAAACUAGGAUUAGAUACCCUAUUAUACUUAAUUUUAAAUAGAAAUAUACUGGGGUAUUACGAAUAAGUAAAUUUAAAACUCAAAGGGCUUGGCGGUAUUAAUUAGAUUUUUAGGGGAAUUUGUUUCUUAAAUCGAUAAUCCUCGAUGGACCUUACCUUUUAAUGUUGUCAGUUUGUAUACCGUCGUCGUAAAUUAACUUUUAAAAAUUUAUUAGUUAUUUAGAAAAACUUUUGUUUUAUAUGUCAGAUCGAGGUGCAGCUUAUAAAAAGGGGGAAAGGAUGAAUUACAAUUAUAAAUUUAUAGUCGGAUAUAAUUUAUUAAAUUUAUUAUUGAAGGUGGACUUAAAAGUAAAUUAUUUUAGGGAGAUAAUUUGAAUAAGUACUAAGAUGUGC